RNAcentral lists this ribosomal RNA (254 nucleotides) under uncultured bacterium. RNAcentral describes it as "partial 16S ribosomal RNA". It matches the Rfam family "Bacterial small subunit ribosomal RNA", at positions 524 to 776 of the family's 1533-position model. The record is from RNAcentral.
UACGUAGGGUGCAAGCGUUGUCCGGAAUUAUUGGGCGUAAAGAGCUCGUAGGCGGUCUGUCGCGUCGGAUGUGAAAACUCGGGGCUCAACCCCGAGCCUGCAUUCGAUACGGGCAGACUAGAGUUCGGUAGGGGAGACUGGAAUUCCUGGUGUAGCGGUGAAAUGCGCAGAUAUCAGGAGGAACACCGGUGGCGAAGGCGGCAUCCUGGACCAACACUGACGCUGAGUGAGCGAAAGCCAGGGGAGCAAACGGG